CCCGCUGAACUUAAGCAUAUUAUUAAGCGGAGGAAAAGAAACUAACAAGGAUUCCCCUAGUAACGGCGAGUGAAGCGGGAAGAGCUCAACCUGGAAAUCGGUGCGCCUAGCGGCGUUUCGAAUUGUGGGCUGUAGACACGACGCCAGCUCGUGACCCGGGUAGAAAUCUUUUGAAACAAGGUAUCAUAGAGGGUGAGAAUCCCGUCUGUGACUCGGAGAUCGCGGCGUACGGUUCGUGUUCGUAGAGUCGGAUUGCUUGGGAGUGCAGUCUUAAAAGGGUGGUAAAUUUCAUCUAAAGCUAAAUAUGUACGGGAGACCGAUAGCGAACAAGUACCGCGAGGGAAAGAUGAAAAGAACUUUGAAAAGAGAGUUAAAAAGUACUUGAAAUUGCUAAGAGGGAAGGACUGGAAACCAGUCGUGCUGUCCGUCAUUUGCCUGACCGGAUGCUGGUUCGAAGUGUUUGCGGCGACCUCAAAAGCGCUCGUGGGUGCUUGUGAAUUGGUGGCGGUUGGAUGCUAUGGCGGAUGGUGAGUCAGCGUCAACUAUCGGGUCCUGCGGGAGGACGCCUUCGGAAGGUCAAUCAACGUUCGCGUGGGAUUGCUUACAGCCGGGGGAAUCGCUCGAACCGUGGGAGUGGUUGAGGAGCGUGGACAUCCACGCACCAGCGCGCCAGCAGUGCUUGCGUCCUCUGCUCCUGCGGUGUCGUGUGGCGUCGAAGGACAAAAUUCCUUGGGCGUUGUGCGGCGCCGUACUGGGUGGAAGGAGCGACAUGCGUGCUCGGGAUGCUGACAAAAUGGUUUUCAAUCACCCGUCUUGAAACACGG
RNAcentral lists this ribosomal RNA (824 nucleotides) under uncultured fungus. RNAcentral's name for it is "eukaryotic LSU rRNA". It matches the Rfam family "Eukaryotic large subunit ribosomal RNA", at positions 24 to 664 of the family's 3401-position model. The record is from RNAcentral. Lineage: Eukaryota; Fungi.